UCUCCGUUGGUGAACCAGCGGAGGGAUCAUUACCGAGUUAUCAACUCCCAAACCUCUGUGAACAUACCCAACGUUGCUUCGGCGGGACCGCCCCGUAGCCAUCGGCGUCCCGGAACCAGGCGCCCGCCGGAGGACCCAAACUCUUGUUUAAACCAUAGUGGCAUAUUCUGAGUCUAACAAGAAAAAUGAAUCAAAACUUUCAACAACGGAUCUCUUGGCUCUG
Molecule: unclassified non-coding RNA, 223 nt
Filed under: plant metagenome
Description: partial contains small subunit ribosomal RNA, internal transcribed spacer 1, and 5.8S ribosomal RNA
Source: RNAcentral